This 63-nucleotide transfer RNA is filed under the name Phascolosoma sp. MZK-2017. RNAcentral describes it as "tRNA-Pro". The record is from RNAcentral. Lineage: Eukaryota; Metazoa; Annelida; Sipuncula; Phascolosomatiformes; Phascolosomatidae.
CAGAAAAUAGUUUAUAAAAACAUUAACCUUGGACGUUAAAGAUCAAAUUUAUUUGUUUUCUGA